UCUCAACUUUACACAUGCAAGACUCCCCGCCCCGGUGAAAACACCCUCACUUGUCUUCUAGAUAGUAAGGAGUAGGUAUCAGGCUUUACAGCCCAAGACAUCCAGCCAAGCCACACCCCCACGGGUAUACAGCAGUGGUUAAUAUUAAAUAUUUGCGUAAGCAAGAUUUAGUUAUAGUCAAGACGGUCGGCCAAUUUCGUGCCAGCCGCCGCGGUUACACGAAAGACUUAAACUGAUAGAUUAUCGGCGUAAAGCGUGACUAAGACCCUCAACUCACUAAAGUUAAACUAUAAUCAAGCAGUUAUAUGCAAACAUUAUAAGGAAGCCCAAUUACGAAAGUAACUUUACCAAGCCUGAAAUCACGAAAACCAGGACACAAACUGGAAUUAGAUACUCCACUAUGCCUGGUCUUAAACUUUGACUAAUUACACUUACAUCCGCCAGGGUACUACGAGCGUCAGCUUAAAACCCAAGAGACUUGGCGGUGCUCUAUAUUCACCUAGAGGAGCCUGUCCUAUAAUCGAUGAUCCACGAUUCACCUCACCACUUAUUGCCAAGUCCGCCUAUAUACCGCCGUCGCCAAUCUACCCCUUGAGGGGUAAACAGUAGGUCCAAGGGCUUAUUGCCAACACGUCAGGUCAAGGUGUAGCUAAUGAAGUGGGAAGAGAUGGGCUACAUUUUCUAUUUUAGAACAUCACGAAAGACCACCUAUGAAAUCUGGUCAAAAGGAGGAUUUAGUAGUAAAAAGAAACCAGCAAGUUCUUUUAAAAUCGAUACUAGAGCGCGUACACACCGCCCGUCAC
This 803-nucleotide ribosomal RNA is filed under the name Leptobrachella ventripunctata (speckle-bellied metacarpal-tubercled toad). Its description in RNAcentral is "partial small subunit ribosomal RNA". It matches the Rfam family "Bacterial small subunit ribosomal RNA", at positions 37 to 1400 of the family's 1533-position model. Lineage: Eukaryota; Metazoa; Chordata; Amphibia; Anura; Megophryidae. The record is from RNAcentral.